GGGAGCUUGCUCCCGGAUGUUAGCGGCGGACGGGUGAGUAACACGUGGGUAACCUGCCUGUAAGACUGGGAUAACUCCGGGAAACCGGAGCUAAUACCGGAUAGUUCCUUGAACCGCAUGGUUCAAGGAUGAAAGACGGUUUCGGCUGUCACUUACAGAUGGACCCGCGGCGCAUUAGCUAGUUGGUGAGGUAACGGCUCACCAAGGCGACGAUGCGUAGCCGACCUGAGAGGGUGAUCGGCCACACUGGGACUGAGACACGGCCCAGACUCCUACGGGAGGCAGCAGUAGGGAAUCUUCCGCAAUGGACGAAAGUCUGACGGAGCAACGCCGCGUGAGUGAUGAAGGUUUUCGGAUCGUAAAGCUCUGUUGUUAGGGAAGAACAAGUGCAAGAGUAACUGCUUGCACCUUGACGGUACCUAACCAGAAAGCCACGGCUAAAUACGUGCCAGCAGCCGCGGUAAUACGUAGGUGGCAAGCGUUGUCCGGAAUUAUUGGGCGUAAAGGGCUCGCAGGCGGUUUCUUUAAGUCUGAUGUGAAAGCCCCCGGCUCAACCGGGGAGGGUCAUUGGAAACUGGGAAACUUGAGUGCAGAAGAAGAGAGUGGAAUUCCACGUGUAGCGGUGAAAUGCGUAGAGAUGUGGAGGAACACCAGUGGCGAAGGCGACUCUCUGGUCUGUAACUGACGCUGAAGAGCGAAAGCGUGGGGAGCGAACAGGAUUAGAUACCCUGGUAGUCCACGCCGUAAACGAUGAGUGCUAAGUGUUAGGGGGUUUCCGCCCCUUAGUGCUGCAGCUAACGCAUUAAGCACUCCGCCUGGGGAGUACGGUCGCAAGACUGAAACUCAAAGGAAUUGACGGGGGCCCGCACAACCGGUGGAACAUGGGGUUUAAUUCGAACCAACGCGAAAAACCUUACCAGGUCUUGACAUCCUCUGACAACCCUAGAGAUAGGGCUUUCCCUUCGGGGACAGAGUGACAGGUGGUGCAUGGUUGUCGUCAGCUCGUGUCGUGAGAUGUUGGGUUAAGUCCCGCAACGAGCGCAACCCUUGAUCUUAGUUGCCAGCAUUCAGUUGGGCACUCUAAGGUGACUGCCGGUGACAAACCGGAGGAAGGUGGGGAUGACGUCAAAUCAUCAUGCCCCUUAUGACCUGGGCUACACACGUGCUACAAUGGACAGAACAAAGGGCUGCGAAACCGCAAGGUUUAGCCAAUCCCACAAAUCUGUUCUCAGUUCGGAUCGCAGUCUGCAACUCGACUGCGUGAAGCUGGAAUCGCUAGUAAUCGCGGAUCAGCAUGCCGCGGUGAAUACGUUCCCGGGCCUUGUACACACCGCCCGUCACACCACGAGAGUUUGCAACACCCGAAGUCGGUGAGGUAACCUUUAUGGAGACCAGC
This 1396-nucleotide ribosomal RNA is filed under the name Bacillus altitudinis. RNAcentral describes it as "bacterial SSU rRNA". It matches the Rfam family "Bacterial small subunit ribosomal RNA". Lineage: Bacteria; Bacillati; Bacillota; Bacilli; Caryophanales; Bacillaceae. The record is from RNAcentral.